GGCCCGGCCCGGAGGAAGGUGAGCUCCGGGGGCGGCGGAGUCGGGAGCGCGGAGCGGGGGGGACCCACCGAGCCCCCGUCGCCGCUGCAGGGCGGUAUGAGCGCGGCCAAGCCCAAGCGCAUCAAGUUCUCGGACGAGGAGAAAUUCCUCAUCCUGGAGGAGUUCAGCCUCCGCAAGGACAUCCUCAUCCCCAAGAGCGGCCGCUACCGCAACACGCAGGACCGGCAGCGCGCGUGGGAGGAGAUCGCGGCCGCCGUCAACGCGCUGAGCCCGGUGGUGCGGCGCACGGCCGAGGAGAUCCGCAAGAAGUGGCACAACAUGGUGCUGGACGCGCGCCGGGAGCUGGCCGCCGACAAGCACCCGCUGCUCCGCCAGCGGCCCCAGGAGCGGCUCUUCCAUCACAUCUUCGCCCUCUUCAACAAAGCCGGCCCUCCGCCCGCCCCGUCCUUCGGGCUGCCCGCGGCCGCCCCCGAGCUGCUGCCGCACGGCCCCCCUCCGGACCGCUUCCCCGGCCCCGAGGAGCGGCCGCUGCCCGGAGCGGAGAGCAGGCUGCGGCCGAACCCCGGACCGGCCGCCCCCCGGGCCGCCCCGCCGCAGGGCGCAGCUCCCGGACCUCCGCCUGGCAACCCCGAGCCGCCCCGCGUCAAGUGCCCGCCGAGCCCCGCGCUGGCGUGGCCGUGCCUCGAGGCCAUGGCGAGUCCCGCAUCGCUGGGAACGGGCAGCCCCGGGCCCCCGGAACCCCCGCACGAGAACGGUGGCACAGCGGCCUCCGAGGAGCUGUCAGUGAAGCAGAGGCGGCUGCACACCGAGAUCCUGGAGCUGCAGAAGGAGACCCUGCAACUGCAGAAGGAGAAGAUCGUGCUGGAAAAGGAGAAGCUCCUCCUGGAAAUCCUGAAGCUGCGCAGGGAGUUGGGCACGUGAGGGGCUGCGGGGUGAUGCCAGGAACCCCGUGCUGCUCUGCUGGGGAUAUGGAACAUUGUGGGGCGUGCCGAGUGCUCACACAAGGACUGCUGGGUGCUGCGGUGCAUGGGGCUGAAUAAAGUGAGCAGUGUGGGAUGUGGGCAUGGUGCUGUACGGCGGAGGUGGGGGCCCCAGGUGAAGCCACCAGAGGGUGGCUGGGGGGGACAAGCAGGCACUGGGGACAGCGAUGUGGGUGCCAUACGAUGAUAAAAUCGUUCAGGUUCGAGAAGACCUCUGUUAUCGUUGAAUCCAACCAUUGAUCCGUCGCCACCGUGCCCAAUAAACCAUGUCCUCAAGUGUCACACCUCCAUGGAUGGUGA
Gallus gallus (chicken) is the source of this 1280-nucleotide long non-coding RNA. Lineage: Eukaryota; Metazoa; Chordata; Aves; Galliformes; Phasianidae. The record is from Ensembl.